Molecule: ribosomal RNA, 253 nt
Filed under: uncultured bacterium
Lineage: Bacteria
Description: partial 16S ribosomal RNA
Rfam family: Bacterial small subunit ribosomal RNA
Source: RNAcentral
UACAGAGGUCCCGAGCGUUGUUCGGAAUUACUGGGCGUAAAGAGUGUGUAGGCGGUGCUCCAAGUCUGGUGUGAAAUCUCCCGGCUCAACUGGGAGGGUGCGCUAGAAACUGGAAUGCUAGAGGAUGGGAGAGGUAAGCGGAAUUCCUGGUGUAGCGGUGAAAUGCGUAGAUAUCAGGAGGAACACCUGUGGUGUAGACAGCUUACUGGACCAUUUCUGACGCUGAGACACGAAAGCGUGGGUAGCAAACAGG